CUUUAAACAUCUCUUACUUCUGAGUUUAAAGGUAGUUUUCAGAAUUAACAGUUUACUGUAACAGAGAAUUAGUGUAAAGUUAAACAGCUAAAAAAAUAAAUAAAAAAGUCCACUUACUGGAACUGUUCACAGAAACUAAGAGCUGGGAACAAUCCCAGUUUCAGAAAUGCUCCUCUUUUAGGCAAGGCAUUACAGAGAUGUCAAAAAUACAAACUGAAAAAUAUGUACUACCUCUGAAUGUCCAAAAAAAUUCUACACGCCCCUAUAUCUUCAGCAUCUGCAGAGAACAGAAAGUAACAGAUAUCUUGAAUCCUAUUUGUAGAGAAUGUGGUCUACAAGACUUUGAAACAGAUCACUACUCUACAACCACAAAUAGUCC
Molecule: non-coding RNA, 379 nt
Organism: Pelobates cultripes (western spadefoot toad)
Lineage: Eukaryota; Metazoa; Chordata; Amphibia; Anura; Pelobatidae
Source: the annotation of a GenBank genome assembly